UACGUAGGGUGCGAGCGUUGUCCGGAAUUAUUGGGCGUAAAGAGCGUGUAGGCGGCCAGAUAAGUCCGCUGUGAAAUCUCGAGGCUCAACUUCGAGCUGUCGGUGGAAACUAUCUGGCUAGAGUCCGGAAGAGGAGAAUGGAAUUCCUGGUGUAGCGGUGAAAUGCGCAGAUAUCAGGAAGAACACCCGUGGCGAAGGCGGUUCUCUGGGACGGUACUGACGCUGAGACGCGAAAGCGUGGGGAGCGAACAGG
This 253-nucleotide ribosomal RNA is filed under the name uncultured bacterium. RNAcentral describes it as "partial 16S ribosomal RNA". It matches the Rfam family "Bacterial small subunit ribosomal RNA", at positions 524 to 776 of the family's 1533-position model. The record is from RNAcentral.